Molecule: ribosomal RNA, 492 nt
Filed under: uncultured bacterium
Lineage: Bacteria
Description: partial 16S ribosomal RNA
Rfam family: Bacterial small subunit ribosomal RNA
Source: RNAcentral
AGUGAACGCUGGCGGUAGGCCUAACACAUGCAAGUCGAACGGCAGCACAGUAAGAGCUUGCUCUUACGGGUGGCGAGUGGCGGACGGGUGAGGAAUACAUCGGAAUCUACUUUUUCGUGGGGGAUAACGUAGGGAAACUUACGCUAAUACCGCAUACGACCUACGGGUGAAAGCAGGGGAUCUUCUGACCUUGCGCGAUUGAAUGAGCCGAUGUCGGAUUAGAUAGUUGGCGGGGUUAAGGCCCACCAAGGCGACGAUCCGUAGCUGGUCUGAGAGGAUGAUCAGCCACACUGGAACUGAGACACGGUCCAGACUCCUACGGGAGGCAGCAGUGGGGAAUAUUGGACAAUGGGCGCAAGCCUGAUCCAGCCAUACCGCGUGGGUGAAGAAGGCCUUCGGGUUGUAAAGCCCUUUUGUUGGGAAAGAAAAGCAGCAGGUUAAUACCCCGCUGUUCUGACGGUACCCAAAGAAUAAGCACCGGCUAACUUCGUG